CCUACGGGGGGCAGCAGUGGGGGAUAUUGCACAAUGGGGGGAACCCUGAUGCAGCGACGCCGCGUGGGUGAAGGAGCGUUUCGGCGCGUAAAGCCCUAUCGGCAGGGAAGAAGAUGACGGUACCUGGCCAAGAAGCCCCGGCUAACUACGUGCCAGCAGCCGCGGUAAUACGUAGGGGGCAAGCGUUAUCCGGAUUUACUGGGUGUAAAGGGGGCGCAGACGGCAAUGCAAGCCAGGAGUGAAAGCCCGGGGCCCAACCCCGGGACUGCUCUUGGAACUGCAUGGCUGGAGUACAGGAGGGGGAGGCGGAAUUCCUGGUGUAGCGGUGAAAUGCGUAGAUAUUAGGAGGAACACCGGUGGCGAAGGCGGCCUGCUGGACUGUGACUGACGUUGAGGCCCGAAGGCGUGGGGAGCAAACAGGAUUAGAUACCCGGGUAGUC
RNAcentral lists this ribosomal RNA (440 nucleotides) under uncultured bacterium. RNAcentral describes it as "partial 16S ribosomal RNA". It matches the Rfam family "Bacterial small subunit ribosomal RNA", at positions 338 to 795 of the family's 1533-position model. The record is from RNAcentral.